RNAcentral lists this microRNA precursor (59 nucleotides) under Parasteatoda tepidariorum (common house spider). RNAcentral's name for it is "microRNA pte-mir-34 precursor". Its record names the gene pte-mir-34. Lineage: Eukaryota; Metazoa; Arthropoda; Arachnida; Araneae; Theridiidae. The record is from miRBase by way of RNAcentral.
UGGCAGUGUGGUUAGCUGGUUGUGUUUUUUCUUUCAACAACCACUAUCUUCUCUGCCCU